Molecule: ribosomal RNA, 253 nt
Filed under: uncultured prokaryote
Description: partial 16S ribosomal RNA
Rfam family: Bacterial small subunit ribosomal RNA
Source: RNAcentral
UACAGAGGUCUCAAGCGUUGUUCGGAUUCAUUGGGCGUAAAGGGUGCGUAGGCGGUGCGGUAAGUCUGUAGUGAAAUCUCUGGGCUCAACUCAGAGUCUGCUAUAGAAACUGCCGUGCUCGAGUAUGGGAGAGGUGAGUGGAAUUCCCGGUGUAGCGGUGAAAUGCGUAGAUAUCGGGAGGAACAUCGGUGGCGAAGGCGGCUCUCUGGACCACAACUGACGCUGAGGCUCGAAAGCUAGGGGAGCAAACAGG